This 184-nucleotide unclassified non-coding RNA is filed under the name Aspergillus neoglaber. RNAcentral describes it as "ITS1". The record is from RNAcentral. Lineage: Eukaryota; Fungi; Ascomycota; Eurotiomycetes; Eurotiales; Aspergillaceae.
CCGAGUGAGGGCCUUCCGGGUCCAACCUCCCACCCGUGUCUAUCGUACCUUGUUGCUUCGGCGGGCCCGCCGUUUCGACGGCCGCCGGGGAGGCCUCGCGCCCCCGGGCCCGCGCCCGCCGAAGACCCCAACAUGAACGCUGUUCUGAAAGUAUGCAGUCUGAGUUGAUUAUCAUAAUCAGUUA